This 215-nucleotide long non-coding RNA is filed under the name Elaeis guineensis (African oil palm). RNAcentral's name for it is "long non-coding RNA (EGUI_LNC077369)". Lineage: Eukaryota; Viridiplantae; Streptophyta; Magnoliopsida; Arecales; Arecaceae. The record is from RNAcentral.
AUAAAAAUCAGAUCUAAUCUAAUUUUUCAUGCUGAAAAUCAUAUGAAAUCCUAGGCUCUAGAAGAACCUAAAAGAGAGACCCAAGAGAAGAACCGUUCUUCUCUCUUCUUCUCCCUUUUUCUCCUUGAUCUAAAAUUUUAGGAAGCCCAAAACAUCCAACCAAAUUUUUUUGGUAUUUCUUCUCUAAAUUCUUAUGUUAAAAAUCAGAUCCAAUC